GGCUGCUUGGCCGAGUGGUUAUGGCGCUAGUUUCAGGACAUCUGAACAGAGUUCCGAAUAAAGGCGGAAAUCAACAUACUAGUUGGGUUUCCCUUCGUGAGUUCGAGUCUCACAGCAGUCA
Phyllosticta citrichinensis is the source of this 121-nucleotide non-coding RNA. Lineage: Eukaryota; Fungi; Ascomycota; Dothideomycetes; Botryosphaeriales; Phyllostictaceae. The record is from the annotation of a GenBank genome assembly.